GAGUCCUACGGGGGGCAGCAGUGGGGAAUAUUGCGCAAUGGGCGAAAGCCUGACGCAGCGACGCCGCGUGAGGGAUGAAGGUCUUCGGAUCGUAAACCUCUGUCAGCAGGGAAGAACGGUCACUGUGCUAAUCAGCAGUGAAUUGACGGUACCUGAAUAAGAAGCACCGGCUAAAUACGUGCCAGCAGCCGCGGUAAUACGUAUGGUGCAAGCGUUAUCCGGAUUUACUGGGCGUAAAGGGAGCGCAGGCGGCGCGCCAAGUCUGAUGUGAAACCCCGGGGCUCAACCCCGGGCAUGCAUUGGAA
This 305-nucleotide ribosomal RNA is filed under the name uncultured bacterium. RNAcentral's name for it is "bacterial SSU rRNA". It matches the Rfam family "Bacterial small subunit ribosomal RNA", at positions 334 to 631 of the family's 1533-position model. The record is from RNAcentral.